GAGGUGAAGAUACGCAGGACGUCCUCUAAAGCAACUUCCGUGGGUGCCAGGUUGUGGGCUGGGGGCGGUGCUGACCUUGAGAGAGCGGAGGAGGCGCAGGCGCAGCACAGGUACGUGGGCGGGCGGAUCGUGGUGGCUGCGCUUGCGAGGACCCUGAGGUAGAUUGGGUGGUUUCAACAGGAACGCAUCCACUGUCUGAGAGUUUAAACUUGAUUUUGUGAGGGGACGAACAGCGUGACAAUUAAAAGAAGAUCUGGGAAUCAAAAGCUUCCUGAGGCCUUCACCAGAAGCAGAUGCUGGUGCCGUGCUUCUACAGCCUGCAGAACUGAAGGACUUUACAGCUUCUCUUUCGCAUAUCCAAAUUGCCAGCAUCACCGCUCUUGCACUCCAAGCCAUUAUUAAGUAAAGUAAAGAACACAAACACUGUGAUACUGCUACACUUGAUCUGAUAACCAAGAAGUCUACUAAGUGACUAACAGAGCAACUGGGAACCUAAUUCUGACCAAAAAGGAGGAAUUGUUUGGCUAAUUGGAAGUGACAGAAACCUUGGGAGAAAGCAACCGCAUACCAAGGAUAAUUAUAAGAAGAAGAGAAGACAUGGAGAAGAGGAGGGAGUAGUUGUGACCGUGGAGGCAGAGAAUGGAGUAAUGUGAUCAUAAAUCAAGGAAUGCUGACAGCCACUAAAGCUGGAGAAGGCCAAGGACAGAUAUUCAAUCCUCCCGUAGAAGUACAGCCCUGCUAAUGCAUUGAUUUUGGACUUCUGGCCUCAGAACUGUCUGGAAAGCAUGGAAAUUUGUAUCUUCAUUCACUUUUGUUUUCAUGGACUCUUUUCAUGUUUGAACUUUUCAUGAUCCAAUGUGAUAAUUUAUGUGAAAUCUUUCUGCAAACUAUACAGUAUGAUAAAAAUAUAAGGUAGUUUCACUGGAAACAACAGAAGACUAGAAGCUGAUGUGACGUGGCAAUAUCAACCAGGAAUACCCAUCUCGAGUUCUGGAUAUGUGCUCUGAGAAGGUGCCCAUGUCACCGACCACACUGGAGGCCAAUGCAGAUACUGGGGGAAGGUUCCAUGGUAGCUAAGUGUGGACAAGCUAAUCACUGAAGUUCCCUGAUGCAGAGUUGAUAAUCUCUCUAGAGUUGGAUGAAAGACUGUGCUGCCUUGAAGCUCUGAGAGAUGCCAUGCCAAUUCAAGGCAGGGUCUUUAUUGUUGAAACUCUUGCGUAAUGACAUCUUUAUUCAGGUGAAAAUACAGGAUGAAUUUCAACUAUAUGAUAUUGUUUAUGUUCCUCAGACAUGUUAUUUGUCUUUACAAAGAUUGGUUUCAAUAAACUGUGUGACUGAUAUUAAAUAAACAUGGAAUUUUACACAUUCAUAAU
Molecule: long non-coding RNA, 1373 nt
Filed under: Homo sapiens (human)
Lineage: Eukaryota; Metazoa; Chordata; Mammalia; Primates; Hominidae
Description: HSALNT0327916
Source: RNAcentral